UACGAAGGGGGCUAGCGUUGCUCGGAAUCACUGGGCGUAAAGCGCACGUAGGCGGAUUUCUAAGUCAGGGGUGAAAGCCUGUGGCUCAACCACAGAAUUGCCUUCGAUACUGUAGAGCUUGAGACCGGAAGAGGUAAGUGGAACUGCGAGUGUAGAGGUGAAAUUCGUAGAUAUUCGCAAGAACACCAGUGGCGAAGGCGGCUUACUGGUCCGGUUCUGACGCUGAGGCGCGAAAGCGUGGGGAGCAAACAGG
Molecule: ribosomal RNA, 253 nt
Filed under: uncultured bacterium
Lineage: Bacteria
Description: partial 16S ribosomal RNA
Rfam family: Bacterial small subunit ribosomal RNA
Source: RNAcentral